AUUGAACGCUGGCGGCAGGCCUAACACAUGCAAGUCGAACGAGUGGCGGACGGGUGAGUAAUGUCUGUGAAACUGCCUGUUGGAGGGGGAUAACUCCUGGAAACGGUAGCUAAUACCGCAUACCAUCAGAUGUGCCCAGAUGGGAUUAGCUUGUUGGUGGGGUAACGGUUCCCCAAGGCAACGAUCCCUAGCUGGUCUGAAAGGAUGACCAGCCACACUGGAACGACGACACGGUCCAGACUCCUACGGGAGGCAGCAGUGGGAAGUAUUGCACAAUGGGCGCAAGCCUGAUGCAGCCAUGCCGCGUGUAUGAAGAAGGCCUUCGGGUUGUAAAGUACUUUCAGCGGGGAGGCGUUACCCGCAGAAGAAGCACCGGCUAACUCCGUGCCAGCAGCCGCGGUAAUUC
RNAcentral lists this ribosomal RNA (406 nucleotides) under uncultured bacterium. RNAcentral's name for it is "partial 16S ribosomal RNA". It matches the Rfam family "Bacterial small subunit ribosomal RNA", at positions 30 to 526 of the family's 1533-position model. The record is from RNAcentral.